GACGAACGCUGGCGGCGUGCUUAACACAUGCAAGUCGAACGGUGAACCUCUUCGGAGGGGAUCAGUGGCGAACGGGUGAGUAACACGUGGGCAACCUGCCCCCGGCUCUGGGAUAACUCCAAGAAAUUGGGGCUAAUACCGGAUGUUCACCGCUUCCCGCAUGGGUGGUGGUGGAAAGGGUUUCCGGCUGGGGAUGGGCCCGCGGCCUAUCAGCUUGUUGGUGGGGUAGUGGCCUACCAAGGCGACGACGGGUAGCCGGCCUGAGAGGGUGACCGGCCACACUGGGACUGAGACACGGCCCAGACUCCUACGGGAGGCAGCAGUGGGGAAUAUUGCGCAAUGGGCGGAAGCCUGACGCAGCGACGCCGCGUGGGGGAUGACGGCCUUCGGGUUGUAAACCUCUUUCAGCAGGGACGAAGCGCAAGUGACGGUACCUGCAGAGGAAGCACCGGCCAACUACGUG
This 463-nucleotide ribosomal RNA is filed under the name uncultured bacterium. RNAcentral's name for it is "partial 16S ribosomal RNA". It matches the Rfam family "Bacterial small subunit ribosomal RNA", at positions 28 to 507 of the family's 1533-position model. The record is from RNAcentral.